AUUUUAUUUAUUUAUUUAUUUAUUUAUUUAUUUAUUUAUUUAUAGACAGGAAGCAGGAUUUAUUGGUGGGCAUGAAUGGGAAAGGGCAGUGCUGAGGUUCUCAUGAGUGCAGAGCCUGCCAUUUGUCCAAGGGGCCACGAUUAGGGAUGUAUUUGACCCCACAGCCAUCUGGGAUGAGCCGCUUUUCAGCCACCAUGGUCAGAUCUGAAGAGCAC
Leopardus geoffroyi (Geoffroy's cat) is the source of this 215-nucleotide long non-coding RNA. RefSeq lists it as uncharacterized. The record is from RefSeq and is a predicted model, not a curated record. The transcript is spliced from 3 exons. Lineage: Eukaryota; Metazoa; Chordata; Mammalia; Carnivora; Felidae.